ACUCCUACGGGAGGCAGCAGUGGGGAAUUUUGGACAAUGGGCGAAAGCCUGAUCCAGCAAUGCCGCGUGAGUGAAGAAGGCCUUCGGGUUGUAAAGCUCUUUUGUCAGGGAAGAAACGGUGAAAGCUAAUAUCUUUUGCUAAUGACGGUACCUGAAGAAUAAGCACCGGCUAACUACGUGCCAGCAGCCGCGGUAAUACGUAGGGUGCAAGCGUUAAUCGGAAUUACUGGGCGUAAAGCGUGCGCAGGCGGUUUUGUAAGUCUGAUGUGAAAUCCCCGGGCUCAACCUGGGAAUUGCAUUGGAGACUGCAAGGCUAGAAUCUGGCAGAGGGGGGUAGAAUUCCACGUGUAGCAGUGAAAUGCGUAGAUAUGUGGAGGAACACCGAUGGCGAAGGCAGCCCCCUGGGUCAAGAUUGACGCUCAUGCACGAAAGCGUGGGGAGCAAACAGGAUUAGAAACCCUUGUAGUCCCGU
RNAcentral lists this ribosomal RNA (472 nucleotides) under uncultured organism. RNAcentral's name for it is "partial 16S ribosomal RNA". It matches the Rfam family "Bacterial small subunit ribosomal RNA", at positions 335 to 800 of the family's 1533-position model. The record is from RNAcentral.